CCUACGGGGGGCAGCAGUGGGGAAUUUUGGACAAUGGGCGCAAGCCUGAUCCAGCCAUGCCGCGUGCAGGAAGAAGGCCUUCGGGUUGUAAACUGCUUUUGUCAGGGAAGAAAUCCCUUGGGUUAAUACCUCGGGGGGAUGACGGUACCUGAAGAAUAAGCACCGGCUAACUACGUGCCAGCAGCCGCGGUAAUACGUAGGGUGCAAGCGUUAAUCGGAAUUACUGGGCGUAAAGCGUGCGCAGGCGGUCUUGUAAGACAGAGGUGAAAUCCCCGGGCUCAACCUGGGAACUGCCUUUGUGACUGCAAGGCUUGAGUACGGCAGAGGGGGAUGGAAUUCCGCGUGUAGCAGUGAAAUGCGUAGAUAUGCGGAGGAACACCAAUGGCGAAGGCAAUCCCCUGGGCCUGUACUGACGCUCAUGCACGAAAGCGUGGGGAGCAAACAGGAUUAGAUACCCCUGUAGUC
This 465-nucleotide ribosomal RNA is filed under the name uncultured Leptothrix sp. RNAcentral's name for it is "bacterial SSU rRNA". It matches the Rfam family "Bacterial small subunit ribosomal RNA", at positions 338 to 795 of the family's 1533-position model. Lineage: Bacteria; Pseudomonadati; Pseudomonadota; Betaproteobacteria; Burkholderiales; Sphaerotilaceae. The record is from RNAcentral.